AGAGAGGCUGUCCUAGCUAGAAAUCAGGGCAGGGAGUGCUGAGGAAACAGUGGUGCUACCUUAUAUGCAGUCAUGGUGGUUAUAUUCUCCAUGUAAAGCCAGAAGGGCAGAGAGUCUACUCCAAAAUAGCACUUUCAAUUUACACAAGCUGCUCUUGAAGUGAGGAAAGGAUCCAUGUUGAAGCCUCCAGACAAAGGACUAUUGACAGCACUACCCAACUACCCAAAGAGUGAAGAUCCCAAUGGUUGCUAAAUCUGGGCCUCCUACUGAUGAAACUGGAACCACUAUAGCAGAUGAGAUUGAGAGACCUGCCCCUGCAUAGGCUGCUGGUUAGGGCCCUUUUCAGGGAUGUGGCAAACAUGAGUUCAAGUCCUUGCUCUGGAGUGGACAUGGGAGCCUGAGUCUCCCACAUCCCAGGGAAUAAGGCCUCCCUUCUAACCCUCUUCUGCUGCCCUCUGGCCAUGCUGUAUCACACCUGUAAUGGAGAAUACUGGUAGAACAGAACGAAUUGCUGCCUGAGAGACCUCCUGAUUAUCGAGACCGUACCGAGCCCUCCUUGCUUCUUCUGAUGUUGUUGCUGCUUCUGCCUUUGCUGCUGCCUUGGGGACUGUCCUUUGAUCUAAAAUGACCAGAGUUGGUUACUUCACCCAUCUUGAGUUGAAAAUAUUUUGGUUAUCAGAGACUGCUGAACUUACUGGGGAGAUGUGCUGAACACAUCCAUGUGAUGAUGCUGUCAAGAUGUUGCUGGCGAAGCAGCUGCUCUCCCACACUAAAUCUGCAGCAGGAAACCUGGAAUUUGACUCCCACUGCCUCUGUGUUGUAAUAGGAUGAUGUCUCUUCCAUGACCAGUUGCUCUGACUCAGGUUCUGCUGCCAGCAGACUGUCAAUAUGCCACUUUCUGGAGGGAGUUUAUGAACAGAAAUUUAUGGGCCCCACACAUAAUUUAACAUUGUGUUCUGCAUUUAUCUUGUAAAUUAUAAGUCGCACAUUGGCAGGGGUAUUGGCGACGGGAUUGACUUAUCUAUGUUUAGGUAUAUAAAAGCUUAAAAAUAAACAGUGGCACUUAUAAAUGCAAACAAGGACAAGACUCUCCAAUUCAUAAGGUGAAAACCUUCCUCCCUCAUGCCACUGUCUCAAAUCAUCACAGGGAAAAUAGACUGAAUUUGCAAUGCAGUUCUAAGACAUCCAGCCCUCCAGAAUGUUUUCCUCAUAUCCCUGGGACUGAAAGGAAGGCCUCCUCCAUGUCCUGGCCUAUUUUGCUCCAGACCCUACAGCA
This is a long non-coding RNA of Mauremys reevesii (Reeves's turtle), 1276 nucleotides long. RefSeq lists it as uncharacterized. Lineage: Eukaryota; Metazoa; Chordata; Testudines; Geoemydidae. The record is from RefSeq and is a predicted model, not a curated record. The transcript has 6 exons.